GAUGAACGCUAGCGGCAGGCUUAAUACAUGCAAGUCGAGGGGCAUCAAGGUACACGAAAGUGUAUUGUUGGCGACCGGCGGACGGGUGAGUAAUAGGUAGGUAACCUACCUCAUACUGAGGCAUAGCUGGGAGAAAUUCCAGGUAAUUCCUCAUGAGGUUAUAUGACACAUGUGAUAUAAUCAAAGGUAUCGCAAGGUACUGGUAUGAGAUGGGCUUACUGACCAUUAGCUAGUUGGUGAGAUAAGAGCUCACCAAGGCGAAGAUGGUUAGGGGUUUUGAGAGAGAGAUCCCCCACAUUGGAACUGAGAUACGGUCCAGACUCCUAACGGGAGGCAGCAGUAGGGAAUAUUGGGCAAUGGGCGGAAGCCUGACCCAGCCAUGCCGCGUGAAAGGGAAGAACGGCCUUAUUGGGUUGUUAAAACUUUCUUUACUUAUGGACUAACUAAGUAAUUAAGUAAGAAUAAUUAACUUAUUAAUAAAUAGUAAGUCAUAAAAAAAACAAGAACCGAACCCG
This 515-nucleotide ribosomal RNA is filed under the name uncultured bacterium. Its description in RNAcentral is "bacterial SSU rRNA". It matches the Rfam family "Bacterial small subunit ribosomal RNA", at positions 28 to 518 of the family's 1533-position model. The record is from RNAcentral.